UUGGUUGUUCGUGCAUCAGAAAUUCGCAAUCUUCCCGCAUCGUGAUUCUUCGUCUGCCCCCUUUAAACUUCCAUCUCUUUCCCUUUCAAUGAAAGCUUGUCUGCAUUUGAAGAGUUGCUACAAAGAUCGUCUAAAAAGAGUUUUGGAGUAUGUUGACAAAGUGAAGGAUUAUGACGACCUGAUCAGUCCCAAUAGCUUAUCCUUUCACUUCCUUGGUCCAGAACCUUCUAGUGGUGCUUUACAACGUUUGGAGGGAGUCUUCAGAGCAAGAGGUGUUGUUUAAAAAAGGGUGGUGAUUUGGAGAAAUCUUUUGUUCCUCCUGUUGUUCAAAAAGUUUCUGAAGUUCCUUCGUCCUCCCAAACAUUUUCUAUAGAACAACUCACUCCUUCACUUCGAUCUUUCAAAGGCCAAGAUAAGGGGAAGUUCAUCUCUGACUUCUGGAAUGAUCCUGGUUUAGCCGUGGCUAAGGCUCAUGACGUAAUCUCGACGGACAAAUUAUGCGUUUUUCGUCCAUUGAAUCUCGUGAUUUGGUUACCCAGCAUCUCCACAAGAAUGUUUAAAGUCUACGUACAUGAUAGCCAAUUGCUUGGACAUGGAAGAGAAAUUAGCUUUGGUGCAAGCUAAGGUUAAGAACCUUUCUAUUGAAAAUGCUUCCUUCCUUUCUUUCUUUUCUGUGGUGCUUGUAAUGAAUUGGCUAUAUGUUUUCUUCUAGUUAAAACUUACCCUCAUCUGAAAAGUCGCAAUAAAGAUCAUCUAAAGAGAGUUUUAGAAUACGUGGGUGAACUGAAGGAUUUUAAGGUUUCUGAAGAGUAUUCGAACAGGCUCAUGGUUGAGUAUGCUGACGGUUUUGAGCUUCUUCAAAAGUACCUCAUCAAACAUCAUCCUGACUUGAAUUUCUCUUUGCUAGAGAUAUGGAGGAGAUUGAAAAGGAGAUGCUGAUCGUGGAGGCCGAAGUUGACAACAUAGUUGCUGAAGAUGCCAAGGUGGACGUUGCUGAGAAUGUCGCCCCUGUCACUGACAAUAUUAAUCUAAAAUAAAAGCAGUUGUUCCUUUAUUUCUCAGGCUCAUAUGUUUUGAGCAAAGAUAAUAUUUCUUUUUUAGGCCUGUAUAUUUUGGGCAUAAGACAAUAUUGCUGCCUUCUUCUGUUUUUAAGACUUUCUUGUCACUAGAUGUUCUAUGCUUUUUUCUUGCUUGAACCUUGCGAAUUUGUGGUAAUAUAUCUGCUUCGUCUGUAA
Molecule: long non-coding RNA, 1235 nt
Organism: Quercus robur (English oak)
Lineage: Eukaryota; Viridiplantae; Streptophyta; Magnoliopsida; Fagales; Fagaceae
Exons: 2
Source: RefSeq, a predicted model, not a curated record